GAGUUUGAUCAUGGCUCAGAACGAACGCUGGCGGCAUGCCUAACACAUGCAAGUCGAACGAGACCUUCGGGUCUAGUGGCGCACGGGUGCGUAACGCGUGGGAACCUGCCUUGAGGUUCGGAAUAACUCAGAGAAAUUUGAGCUAAUACCGGAUAAUGUCUUCGGACCAAAGAUUUAUCGCCUUUAGAUGGGCCCGCGUUGGAUUAGCUAGUUGGUGGGGUAAAGGCCUACCAAGGCGACGAUCCAUAGCUGGUCUGAGAGGAUGAUCAGCCACACUGGGACUGAGAUACGGCCCAGACUCCUACGGGAGGCAGCAGUGGGGAAUCUUGCGCAAUGGCCGAAAGGCUGACGCAGCGACGCCGCGUGCGGGAGGACGGCCUUCGGGUUGUAAACCGCUGUCAGCGGGGAAGAACACUUCUGGGAGGCAAUGCCCAGGAGCUGACGGUACCCGCAGAGGAAGCACCGGCUAACUCCGUGCCAGCAGCCGCGGUAAUACAAGGG
Molecule: ribosomal RNA, 501 nt
Filed under: uncultured bacterium
Lineage: Bacteria
Description: bacterial SSU rRNA
Rfam family: Bacterial small subunit ribosomal RNA
Source: RNAcentral